GGUAAAAAAGCUCGUAGUUGGAUUUCUGUUGAGGACGACCGGUCCAUACCACGUAUGCGCAUCUGGCUCGGCCUCGGCAUCCUUUCGAAAGACGUUUCUGCGCUUGAUUGCGUGGAGCGGAUCUCGGAACUUUUACUUUGAGGAAAUUAGAGUGUUCACGGCAGGCUAUCGCCAGAAUACAUUAGCGUGGAAUAAUACUAUAGGAUCUUGGUUCUAUUUUGUUGGUUUCUAGAAUUGAGAUAAUGAUUAAUAGGGACAAUUGGGGGCAUUCGUAUUAACACGUCAGAGGUGGAAUUCUUGGAUUGUGUUACGACGAACUACUGCGAAAGCAUUUGCCAAGGAUGUUUUCAUUGAUCAAGAACGAAAGUAAGGGGAUCGAAGACGAUUAGAUGCCGUCGUAGUCUUUACCAUAAACUAUGCCAACUAGAGAUCCGGCAUCGUUCACUUACGACUUGCUGGGCACCUUAUGGAUACUAAAGUCUUUGGGUUCCGGGGGGAGUAUGGUCGCAAGGCUGAAACUUAAAGGAAUUGACGGAAGGGCACCACCAGGAGUGGAGCCUGCGGCUUAAUUUGACUCAACACGGGGAAACUCACCAGGUCCAGACAUAAUAAGGAUUGACAGAUUGAUAGCUCUUUCUUGAUUUUAUGGGUGGUGGUGCAUGGCCGUUCUUAGUUCGUGGAGUGAUUUGUCUGCUUAAUUGCGUUAACGAA
This 711-nucleotide ribosomal RNA is filed under the name uncultured marine alveolate. Its description in RNAcentral is "SSU rRNA". It matches the Rfam family "Eukaryotic small subunit ribosomal RNA", at positions 617 to 1335 of the family's 1831-position model. The record is from RNAcentral.